This is a long non-coding RNA of Sceloporus undulatus (fence lizard), 2863 nucleotides long. RefSeq lists it as uncharacterized. NCBI's taxonomy places the organism in Eukaryota, Metazoa, Chordata, Lepidosauria, Squamata, Phrynosomatidae. The transcript is spliced from 2 exons. The record is from RefSeq and is a predicted model, not a curated record.
UCCAAAGCCAGGAGGAGGAGGAGGCGGCGUCCCUCCCUCGCCGCCCGCCAGUCCGGCCAGACGCCUCGUCUCUGUCGGCGGCGGCGGCGGCGGCGGCGGCUUGCCUUUCUCCCCUCAGAGCCGCCAUUUCGGGCCCCUUUCCCCGAGAGCAGAGAACGUGGAGUCUGUCCGGCGUUGGAGCCUCGAGGAAGGCGGCUCUCUUCAGGCCUCGCUUCGUUGCUGCUGUUAGGGUUUAUUUAUAGAGCGCCGGACGAUUGUUAUUUGGUUUGGUUUUCAUCUGUUUGUUUGUAUAUUUUUGUUGAAUGAAUGAUAAUUGUGUUUCAGGCCCAGCUCUUCACCUGAAAGGAAGGAACGAGGCCCUUGGCACCGUCCUCCGAUCCAUCCUCCGUCCGAUUGCGUUCUAAUGGCAUCUUGUUAUGAAUCUCCCCAGUUCAAGCGGCGGAAGGACGGAGGGUCUUGCCGGGAGCCCUCUCCCCAAAAGCGAAGCUGAGCCUGAGAGCCAAUGGCCCAGACCGGGAGCCCCUUCCAGCCUCCUGGCUCCAGACCCAAGUCGUCCUGCCAGGCCUGGCCAGGGAGGAGGGAGCCCCGCUCCCCCAGCCGCCUUCCAGCCUUGCUGUGCCACAAGGAGCCAUGCCUUUCGGGGGAGAGAGACGCUUGGCUGGCAGAGGAGCCUUAGGGCACUGGACCUCCCUAUAAGAAGGGAAGGAAGCUGGGACUGGACCCAUCAAGCCCAGAUCCUGAUACCCAAAAGGCCUGGAGUUCCCCUCCUUUCCAGGCAAGGGCUGCUCCUUAAAACGUCCCCAAAACAGAGAGGGAGAAUGUCACCAAAAAUAAAAGGUUGGAGAGGCUGUAAAGGCAGAGGAACCAAUGCCUCAGAUCUGCCCAUUCCCUUCAGUCCAACAAACCAGUCUUCUCUGGGAUAACAGCAAAGCUUCAUUUCAGCAACCAAAGGAAGUUAGCAGCUUGCGUAGUACAUACAAAGCAAUACCCCUUUCCCAGGGUUUGCAGGUUUCCUCCCCGUUUGCCCAGUCCCCAAACGUUCGCACAUCCAGGCCUGCUCUCUCCUGCCGCCGCCGCCGCCGCCGCCCUUCUUUCGGACCCUGCCAUUCCUUCCCAUGAGACCUGGCUACAGCGAGUGCCAUACAUUGGUCCUUGUCCAGCCAGCGUUCUUUCCCCUCCCUGCCAUGGACAAGCACAACAUGCCCCACCAUAGGCUACUGCAUAGCCCCCUCAUAGUCAUACAUGAUCUGAAUGCUGCUCAUUGCGUAAACAUGAAAUCAAAAACAACAACAGCCAGAUACAGAAACCAGUAGCAUAACAGAAGGAAGGAAGGAAGCAAUAACUCUUUAUGGCAGGAACUGCUGGGAAUAUGGACACUGUGUGCAGAUGUGGGUUUCUGCUCCUUUUUGGAUGACAGCCAUUUCUACAAUCCCUGUCCUAGACUCUUAUUAUAAUCUGUGUUUACAGGUACAAAGAAAGAUGUGAAAUACAAAGAACUGACCUGCUUCUUUCCUGCUGCUUCUAGGGGUUGUCAGUACAAGCCCAAAGGCCCCUGUUCCCUGGCUUCACGCCGUCCAGUUCAGACGACAGGUCAGAAUCCCAGUGGCCAGGCUGGACAUGGAUCUGGUGGACCCAGCCCAGUCCCAGGGAAAACAGACUUUACUCCAGGUCAUGCUAACCCCUGGUUUGCCAUGGAGUUUCCUGGAAACCCCAAGGGAAACCCCAGCUGUUUCUACACAUCACACACACUCUCUCUCCUUACAUUGCCAUUGAUGGUACUGAGAAGCCCCCCAUAACCACGUCUAAUGUGGAAAGGGGCUGCUCAAUGCCAGCGAUGGGCAUGGCAAAGUAAGGAGCUUGCGUCGGUAGCGGGUCAUGGUUUGGCGCAGGGAUGGGCAUGUAAACCCCCCCCCCAUCCUUAUGCUGUCCCUGGGACUGACCCAAGUGAGCACCGGGACCAGAAUCGCACAGGAUCAGCCCCUGCUCUCCUGGCCCAUCUGCUCAGUGCCUAGGUUAGGACUCACUAAGAAUGGGAGGACAGGGGAAUUAGCAAUAGCAUUUACAUUUCUACCUGCAGGGAUCGAACUCACAACCUUGUGGCUGCAGGACUGCACCGCCAGGGCUCCUUCUUUGAGUCUUUCUUGGCAAAGUGAGUUGGCAUGGCUGUGUGGGACCUGAGCAGAGCAGCGGAGGAUAGGAACUCUUGGAGACGUCUCAUCCACAGGGUCACCGUGCAUCGGGGCCGACUCGAGGGUAGUUAACAGCAACAGCAUGCUAAGGUAGGACAGUAGCAAUAGCAUUUGCCUUUCUGUACUGCUUCAUAGUGAACUCAGUACAGUGCUCUUAGUGGUUGACAGCAUGUAAGCCAAUUGCCCCCAACAAGCUUGGGACUCAUUUUACUGACCUAUGAAAGGAUGGAAGGCUGAGGAGUCAACCUUGGAGCCCUGUGGGGAUCGAACUCACAACCUUGUGGCUGCAGUAUAGGCAUUUAACCAUUGCACCAGCAGGGCUCUGUUACACAUUGAUAACGGAUGGCAUAGGAUCUGAGAUGUUUUAUUAAUACAAUAACUGCCAGAUAGAACACAUAAUAUAUAAACCUUUCUCAGAGAGAUGAUCUCCCUUUAUAGAACACCCUGACAGCUCUCAGACAUUGAAUCCAGUGGCUCAAGACCUGGGUCUCUGGAAGACCGUCAUAUGCAAGGCCUCAUAUUAAUUCACCCUGUCAUUGUCAUUCAUUGCUGCUGCUUUCACUUUUAUAUCCUCUUCCAUCAGCAUCUUUUUUUGUCUCAUCUCUCUUUGUUUGUUACAUGAUUGCGUUGGAUUUGUUAAAUUGCUAGCUAUUAAAUUUGAAUCUAUCUCUCUA